This 194-nucleotide microRNA precursor is filed under the name Oryza brachyantha (malo sina). RNAcentral's name for it is "MIR812 microRNA precursor family". It matches the Rfam family "MIR812 microRNA precursor family". Lineage: Eukaryota; Viridiplantae; Streptophyta; Magnoliopsida; Poales; Poaceae. The record is from Rfam by way of RNAcentral.
AAUAAAUCAAUCUUUUACUUUUUACCUAUAAUAUUUAACUCCUCGUUUUAUUUGAAAAAUAUUACUAUUAAUAUUUUUAUUUUUAUUAGAUGAUAAAUCGUGAAUAGUAUUUUAUGUGUGACUAAUUUUCUUAUAAUUUCUUGUAAAUUUUUCAAAUAAAACGAAUGGUCAAACGCUGGAGACGAAAACGAAAG